CAUAUAUAUUACAAGUUAAAUUCUUUGGAAAUUUUUGAUACAAUCACACUACGCCUCCAAAUUAUAAAUAUGAAUUCUACAUAUGCAAUACAUAAGAUUUAUUUACUGUCAUGCAGUCUAAGAGAAGACAGUCCUUCACAUAAAAAAAGCACCAAGGAAUUCAGAGAACUGAGUUCUGAAUUCAUCAAGCGUAAUAAUAUUGCCUUGGCACUUUGAUUACAACUAUUAGCAGAACAUUUUGAAUGAGGAAUCAAAAGAGUAUAUACAUUAUUGUGUUUGUAAACAUUUUAUUUGAAAAGGCUGUCCCAACCUUGUUCGAUCUGACCAAGGAACUGAAAACUCUGUGGUGGCUGUUAUUCAGAUUGCUUUCCGUUCACGCGCAACGGACAGUCUGAGCGGUGACAAGAGCUUCAGGUAUGGGAAGUCAGUACACAACCAGCGUGCUGAAGCUUUCAACAGUGUGCUGAAAAGAUCAUGGAUUUUUCACUGGCAAAGCUACUUUGAGUCCAUGCAGGUUACUGAUUUGUUGGACAUAUCUAAUCCUAUACACAUACACUUGGUCCAAUACUGCUACCUCACACUUGUUGAGAAGCAGCUUCAAACAGAACAGAACGAAUGGAAUGACCACAUGAUCCGGAAGCAAGUUGGAGCAGCUGGGCCUUUUGGAAAACCAAACAUCAUGUAUUUCACACCUACCACUGGAACACCGAAUCUGCUUUGUCCAGUGGACAGAGACCUGACACACUAUGCCGCAACACUGGUGUGUGAAGAUGGAGCAGCACUGCUGGUUGCUAAUGAAGCUUUCCGAACACUCUGCCACAGAGUUCUUGCUCGUUCUGCUCUCCACAUUGACCACAUGUGUGUAGAGCGGUCGAUGGCUGCAUAUGUGUGCCUGAAGAACUUUUUCUUAGAAAAGUUGAUUGAUCUUUCAGUUGAUCAGCCUCAAAAUUUUGAAGAGGCUUGCCUUUUUUAUAUUACCAUUUAGGAUCCUUACAAUGAAUUAAUAUUAAGGACCUAGUAAGGUGUAGGCCAAACCAUUGUUAUCAGAACCUGACCUACUGUGUUUUUGGGUCAUUUACCUGUUUUUUCACAUCUUUUGCCAGCCUUUACCUGCGCAGUAGCCAGCCUCUAUUCUUUGGAUUUAGACCUAUAGCCUGCCAGACUAUUUUGCCUGGCUGCUGUUUUUGUCUUAUUGCCUCAAAUAAAACCCUUUUAUGCUCUACGCAUGCAUCUAUACCUGCCUGUGGGUCGUAUUCCUUACACCUACACUCCUCGUUCAAUUUUGAAUUGUUUACA
Esox lucius (northern pike) is the source of this 1296-nucleotide long non-coding RNA. The record is from Ensembl. NCBI's taxonomy places the organism in Eukaryota, Metazoa, Chordata, Actinopteri, Esociformes, Esocidae.